Molecule: non-coding RNA, 2202 nt
Organism: Cicer arietinum (chickpea)
Lineage: Eukaryota; Viridiplantae; Streptophyta; Magnoliopsida; Fabales; Fabaceae
Source: RefSeq, a predicted model, not a curated record
AUAAUAAAAAAUAAUAAAAUAGUAUAGAGCUUCCCCACCACCAUAUCAAAUACUCCUCUCCUCUUUAAUUUCCAGAACUUUCCUAUCUAAGAACCCACUGUCUCUUUCAUCCACUUGCUAUUCGUGGAAAGGAUUUUUCAAUAAAAUAACAUAAUAUUGCUUCCAAGAUGUCUAGAAUGUUCUUAAUAAUACACCUCUUGGUAUUAUUUUUUUUACUCUCUCUUCCUAUAUAAACCUUCAUAACACUUCUUCUAUAGCUUUCUUCUAAUAUAGGUAAGACAACUCAUCAAAAUUAUUUUUUCAACUUCCUUAACGACUUUCCAAACUCCCCAACAUACUUAAAAAACCCAUAUUUCCAAUGCAAAAUUUGUUCUUCCUACUUGUUUCACUUAUCAAUUUCAUUAAAUCAAAUCCACUCCCUUACAAUUGCACUUCUUUUAAAUUCCUCCUCUUAUUUCAUUAAAUCAAAUCCUUUUUUUUUUAACUAAAAUUAAUAGGACUCCAUUGUUUUCGAGCAACCCUUAAAAUGAACUAUUUGUAUCCAGUGAAAGAAGAGUAUUUGGAAGUUGAAGGAGGAAGUGAUGAGGGAACAAUGGUUGCUAUUCCUAGGCCAAUGGAGGGGUUACAUGAAGUGGGACCACCACCAUUUCUAACCAAGACUUUUGAUGCUGUGGAGGACCCCACAACUUGUCACAUAGUUUCAUGGAGCAGAGGAGGUUCUAGCUUUGUUGUUUGGGAUCCAAAUGCUUUCUCAAGAGACCUUCUUCCUAGAUACUUCAAACACAACAAUUUCUCGAGUUUUGUUAGACAACUAAACACUUAUGGAUUUAGAAAAAUUGAUCCUGAUAGGUGGGAAUUUGCAAAUGAAGGAUUUCUAAGAGGGCAUAAACAACUUUUAGCAAACAUAAAGAGAAGGAGACAAAUUUCACAACCUAGUACUUCUCAACAAUCAUCACAAGGUCAUUGUGUUGAAGUUGGAAAUUUCGGUUUAGACGAAGAAAUCGAUCAUUUGAGACGCGACAAACAAGUGUUGAUGAUGGAACUUGUGAAGCUUAGACAGCAACAACAGAACACAAGAUCUUAUCUACAAGCAAUGGAAGAAAGACUACGUGGAAUAGAAAUCAAACAGCAACAAAUGAUGGCUUUUCUAGCUAGAGCUAUGAAAAAUCCAGCUUUUAUUCAGCAACUAGUUCAACAGAAGGAAAAGAGGAAAGAGAUUGAAGAAGCUAUUACUAAGAAGAGGAGAAGACCAAUUGAGUAUGGAACAAGUUAUGUUGGAGAAUCAAGCAUUGGUGGUGAAUAUGGAAGGAAUUGUGUUAAAUUUGGAUUUGAAGUUUCAGAGUUGGAAGUUUUGGCAAUGGAAAUGCAGGGUCUUGGAAAGGGUAGGAGAGAAAUUGAGGAAGAGAAUGAGGUAUGUGAAACUCAUGAGAAAUUGGAGAAAGAACUUGAUGAAGGGUUUUGGGAAGAACUUUUUAGUGAGAAAUUUGAAAGUGAAUUAGAUAUUUUAACUUCUCAAGGAGACGAUGAAGAUGUUAAUGUGUUGGCCGAACGAUUUGAUUAUUUGGGUUCGAGUCCCAAAUGAAAUUUGAUCUCUCUAUUAGUGUCUGAAAUAUAAAUUGGACACUAAAAAGAAAUUUGAAUUUGUAGUAGCAUCAUCUGGGUUGCCACGGGAGAUCAUUUCAAUUAUUGUGUUUCUAACCCCCUAUCAUAUAUGUCCUUUUCUAGUAACAGCUUCCAAUUUCAAUUUCUCAUAUUUCAUAUUUCUCUAUCUUUGAUUAGGUAGGUUUUGCAGCUGAUGCUUGGACAAGAACCUGUGGUAGUUCAUAGGAGAUGAUUAUUUUCUCAAGAUGAAUCAGAAGAUGUAGAAUGGAUACGAUGUAGCUGAUGUUCAGGAAUCAUAACUGAAUCUUGCUUUUUGAAUGAAGAUCCUCUUGGUGGUUAUAACCUUGUCGGUUUGAUAUUUUUCAUCCCUUUAUGCUUUUAUAAUUCUUUGUACUUUGUCCAUGUGGCAUGUGGUCAGAAAUAAAAAACGAGGUGAGAUAAAUAAAAUAAAACGAGGCCUCCAUCAAACGAAUUUCAUGAUGUUACAUAUGUAGUGUUUUUGUUAGGUAACUUUGUGUUCAAGAUUCCUUUCUCAUUUCAAAAACAUAUAACAAAUUUAAAUUUGGGGGAUCUAAGUGAAACGUGUCAAAGUUUAGAGCA